Cyprinus carpio (common carp) is the source of this 645-nucleotide long non-coding RNA. The record is from Ensembl. Lineage: Eukaryota; Metazoa; Chordata; Actinopteri; Cypriniformes; Cyprinidae.
GCUAUACUACAACAGUAUAAACUUUAAAACUUUGUGAGAUGGCAGAUUCUGGUCUAUCAGAAAAAGCACUUAUCACCGAGAGUGUGGAGACCAUUCGUACUACCUCAGUGUUCACGGACCCUUAUGAACGCUCUGUUAACUAUAUGGAGACUCACAGUAUUCUUCAGAUUUUUCAGGACAUCACAGAGAAAUUGGUUUUUAAUAGACCAGACGAUCCACUUCAGUUUAUGUUAGAACAGGUGCAAAUGAAGAUCAAAGUCCGUGAUGAGUCAAGCAACACAUUUGUGAAAUCAUGAUGAAUUCUAAAGCAAAGUAACAAGGGCUUUGCAACAAAUGGAAUCCAAGGUUAUUCUUUUAUUUAUACAAUUCUUUAAAUAAGGUAUUGAAUGCUGUCAUCCCGUGACUCUGCAUUGUUGUUUCCAAGCAACUGUCUUCAGAUGUUCUUUUUUUUUUUGUUCCAAAUUUACCAUGUUUUGCCACAAUUUUGAGACCUUAUUAGCAUUCAUUUUCAGUCAAACAGCGCUGAAAUAUUAAUAAUGUAGUUUGUGAGGGUCUUUGACCUAAAUAUCUCAAUGAACACACUUAAGUGGCAAGUUAGAGCUAUUAAAUGUGGCAAAAAAAAUAAAUAAAUAAAUACAGUUAACA